Molecule: ribosomal RNA, 257 nt
Filed under: uncultured bacterium
Lineage: Bacteria
Description: partial 16S ribosomal RNA
Rfam family: Bacterial small subunit ribosomal RNA
Source: RNAcentral
CGGGACGGGUGAGUAACGCGUGGGUAACCUGCCUUAUACAGGGGGAUAACAGUUAGAAAUGACUGCUAAUACCGCAUAAGCGCACAGGAUUGCAUGAUCUGGUGUGAAAAACUCCGGUGGUAUAAGAUGGACCCGCGUCUGAUUAGCUUGUUGGUGAGGUAACGGCCCACCAAGGCGACGAUCAGUAGCCGACCUGAGAGGGUGACCGGCCACAUUGGGACUGAGACACGGCCCAAACUCCUACGGGAGGCAGCAUG